Long non-coding RNA from Drosophila teissieri, 1779 nucleotides. RefSeq lists it as uncharacterized. The record is from RefSeq and is a predicted model, not a curated record. Lineage: Eukaryota; Metazoa; Arthropoda; Insecta; Diptera; Drosophilidae. The transcript has 3 exons.
AUCUGUGUGGGAAAUUAAAAAACAAUGAGUUUUUAGUGUCGUGUAAAGUUAUUAUACCCGUUGCAAAACAACUUUUUGCCACGCCCACUCUAACGCCCACAAACCGCCAAAACCUGUCAGUGGGGAAAUUUCUCCUUUGCACUUCCAUCAGCUGAGUAACGGGUAUCACAUAGUCGGGGAACUCGACUAUAGCGUUCUCUCUUGUUUUUCUUAUUACUACUUUGUUCAACUUACCCCGAUCUUUGUUCAUCAAUCCGGAGUCAAACGCAAAUCCAAAUUGUCGUCGUCGUACCAUUCCAUUGACGCUAAAUCUUGGCCGUUUCAAAAGCAGUGGACGAUUAAGGCUGCAGAAGCAACUCCCAGAAAAGCUGAAAAUGUACUCAAGGUGGAGUGGCAGCGUGAGAAGGAUGAGCAGACAGAAGAUGAUAAAAGUGAGGAAUCCAGUGUGAACCUCAGUUCGGAACGUUCAGAAAGAGACACGGGUCGUAACCAGCAGUAUGAGGAGGCGGUGCCACCGGCAGGAGAGGCAAUGAGAAUCGGGCCAGGGAGGCCUAAAAUAAUUCGGACCGGCAAGUCAGGCCGACCAAGGAAGGAAUAUAUGAAACACCCUAAGAUUUUCGACUACGUUGAGUGCAAGGACAGGGUUCUGAGGCUCAAUAAGGCGAUAUACGGACUAAAAUAGGCAGGACGAGAGUGAAACGCCACUUUAGAUGAAGCACUUUAAGAGAUCGGUUUCGUGACCUGCCAAUACGAAGCAUAUUUGUACAAACAGGACAUAAACGAGUGGAUCUUAUGCAUAUCAAGUCUAAAAUAGCUUCGAGAUUAAAUGCAUGGACAAAGGUUAGCUGACCACGUUUUUGGGUAUGCAGAUAGAACGUGAAGGCGAGUUGGACAGUAUAACGAUGAAUGAGACGUUGUACAUCAAGGAUAUGCUGCAGAGACGCGGCUUGGAGCACUAGAAGAGUUAAUGUGGGUUGCGUUAACAUCAAGGCCAGAUAUCUAUCACUCAGUUGUGAAGCUGGCGCAGCGAAAUACGAACUUGCAUAGCGAACCUUUAUUGGCUUUGAAACGAGUGAUGCGGUAUUUGGCAGAAACGGCCAAGAAAAUCUUAAGCUAUCAGGAUGGAGGGUUGCCGUUGGUGGGUUUCUACGUCAGCCACCAAAGUUCGUAUACAAGAUUUGUUUUCUUCUUGUCAGGAGACCCUAUCUUCUGGAAGUCGGAUAAGGAAAACAGUGUUGCAUUAAGCAGCACGGAAGCAAAAUAUAUGUCGCUUUCAUCAGCUGUAAAGGAGGCUCUGCAUCUGAAGCAUUUAAUUAUUGCGAUUGGUUGUGGAAGGAAGGAUACCCCAACAACCUUAGCGCUCAGAAUUUGGCCAGAAAUUCAGUUUACCAUGCUCGGUCAAAGCAUAUUGAUAUCAGGUAUCAUUUCAUUAGGAUAGUUAUCCAGAAAGGCGAUGUUGAAUUAAAAUAUGUACCAACUAACGAUAUGAUAGCCAAUAUUGUAACAUCCAUAGUUGAUUAAGUGGUGAGAUCUUCGCUAAAUUGUUGGACGAUUGGGACCCUAGUUGCAGCUAGCUAACUAUCGCCAUUGGUGUUCACUCGAUCAGAAAGCCACAUUUAAUAAAAUUUAUAGUCCCGUGCCUAUUACGUAGAUGAACAAGACUUAUAAUUAAUGCAUAAAAAAAUUUAAAAGAAAGAACAAAAUUCUGAGACCACAUGGGUGUAUGAUGCUGCCAAGCCAGUAUAUCUAAUGGAAAUGAGGUUACACUGAUGGUAUAGC